RNAcentral lists this ribosomal RNA (450 nucleotides) under uncultured bacterium. Its description in RNAcentral is "partial 16S ribosomal RNA". It matches the Rfam family "Bacterial small subunit ribosomal RNA", at positions 354 to 796 of the family's 1533-position model. The record is from RNAcentral.
GUGGGGAAUUUUGGACAAUGGGCGCAAGCCUGAUCCAGCAAUGCCGCGUGCAGGAUGAAGGCCUUCGGGUUGUAAACUGCUUUUGUACGGAACGAAACGGCUCUGGUUAAUACCCGGGGCUAAUGACGGUACCGUAAGAAUAAGCACCGGCUAACUACGUGCCAGCAGCCGCGGUAAUACGUAGGGUGCAAGCGUUAAUCGGAAUUACUGGGCGUAAAGCGUGCGCAGGCGGUUUUGUAAGACAGGCGUGAAAUCCCCGGGCUCAACCUGGGAAUGGCGCUUGUGACUGCAAAGCUGGAGUGCGGCAGAGGGGGAUGGAAUUCCGCGUGUAGCAGUGAAAUGCGUAGAUAUGCGGAGGAACACCGAUGGCGAAGGCAAUCCCCUGGGCCUGCACUGACGCUCAUGCACGAAAGCGUGGGGAGCAAACAGGAUUAGAAACCCGGGUAGUCC